UCCAGUGAGACCUACAAGAUUUAUCUUGCCUGAUUUAAAUCCAGAAGAAGGAACAUAAAGGUGUGUCAAGAUGGCUUAUAGGCAGACACAGGAUGUGUUAAAAAGCCCUAGAAGACUGGAUGCAUUGGUUCCCAAAGACCAGUAGAGCCCCACAUUCCCCAUCGGUAAAGCAGGAGCCCCUGGUCCACCCCACGUGGCUGCGAGGACCAAAGGAGACAAUGUCUGUACUUUCCGUAACGGUGCACUCAGGAUCGCGUCUGCCCACCACGGUCCUCACACCUCUUUCACUUCAAGAUGCACUGUUCCUCGCU
This is a long non-coding RNA of Rhinolophus ferrumequinum (greater horseshoe bat), 311 nucleotides long. RefSeq lists it as uncharacterized. The record is from RefSeq and is a predicted model, not a curated record. NCBI's taxonomy places the organism in Eukaryota, Metazoa, Chordata, Mammalia, Chiroptera, Rhinolophidae. The transcript is spliced from 3 exons.